UGGGGAAUUUUGGACAAUGGGCGCAAGCCUGAUCCAGCCAUGCCGCGUGAGUGAAGAAGGCCUUCGGGUUGUAAAGCUCUUUCAGACGGAAAGAAAUCUCUCAGGAUAAUACCUUGGGAGGAUGACGGUACCGUAAGAAGAAGCACCGGCUAACUACGUGCCGGCAGCCGCGGUAAUACGUAGGGUGCGAGCGUUAAUCGGAAUUACUGGGCGUAAAGCGUGCGCAGGCGGUGAUGUAAGACAGAUGUGAAAUCCCCGGGCUCAACCUGGGAACUGCGUUUGCGACUGCAUCACUCGAGUACGGCAGAGGGAGCUGUAAUUCCGCGUGAAGCAGUGAAAUGCGUAGAUAUGCGGAUGAACACCGAUGGCGAUGGCACCCUCCAGGGCCAGUACUGACGCUCAUUCACGAAAGCGUGGGUAGCAAACA
Molecule: ribosomal RNA, 427 nt
Filed under: uncultured bacterium
Lineage: Bacteria
Description: bacterial SSU rRNA
Rfam family: Bacterial small subunit ribosomal RNA
Source: RNAcentral